This is a long non-coding RNA of Mytilus californianus (California mussel), 369 nucleotides long. RefSeq lists it as uncharacterized. The record is from RefSeq and is a predicted model, not a curated record. NCBI's taxonomy places the organism in Eukaryota, Metazoa, Mollusca, Bivalvia, Mytilida, Mytilidae. The transcript is spliced from 3 exons.
AAAGAAUAUCCUUAGCUAAUGAUGUCAUUGUAUUUGAGUUUUCUGUUAAGAAGCCACCAAAUUUGAAGAAGUUCAUUCUUGAUUUAUCUGUAAAAGUCUGUCUUAACGAUAAAUCUGACUGCUUUCCCAACGUGAAAGUAUUUGACAAUACAGAGAUUCCCCAGCUUGUUUGUGAUAUGGAAGCUACUAUUGAUCUGAAAGACUUUUCUUUAACGGAUUGGGCGGACAACUUGGGAGUUAAUACCACAGGUUUGAUGCAGUCGUCUUACAUCAGACUUUUGCUACAACAGCUCGGACUAGAUACUCGAUUGAAGUCUCCACCAUGCAGUCAUGGAGACGAUUUGUAUUCCAGUUCUUCAAAUGGCUGGA